Molecule: ribosomal RNA, 231 nt
Filed under: uncultured bacterium
Lineage: Bacteria
Description: partial 16S ribosomal RNA
Rfam family: Bacterial small subunit ribosomal RNA
Source: RNAcentral
AGUGGCGGACGGGUGAGUAAUGCAUGGGAAUCUACCCAACAGUGGGGGACAACCCGAGGAAACUCGGGCUAAUACCGCAUACGACCUACGGGUGAAAGGGGGCUUCGGCUCUCGCUGAUGGAUGAGCCCAUGUCCGAUUAGCUAGUUGGUGAGGUAAAGGCUCACCAAGGCGACGAUCGGUAGCUGGUCUGAGAGGAUGGCCAGCCACACUGGGACUGAGACACGGCCCAG